Molecule: long non-coding RNA, 420 nt
Organism: Armigeres subalbatus
Lineage: Eukaryota; Metazoa; Arthropoda; Insecta; Diptera; Culicidae
Exons: 3
Source: RefSeq, a predicted model, not a curated record
AUGUUGUGGAUAUAUGCCCCAAAUGAGGAACACGUCUUCAAAUGAUAGAUGGUUCAUCGAAAUUGAGUAGCCAUCCCAUCAGUGCCGGCCGGCGUUAAGGAAGGGCAGACGGUGUAAAUGAUCGUGGGAAAAAAGGAGCUGUUCAUUACAUCCAAACAAUAGUCGCUACUUCUGCCAAGGCGGUGCCGAUGUGCACACCGACGGACACAUUUCCCUGACAAAGGUUUUAAGCGUAUCAACAGUUGAGGCGGCAACCUUACGUUCAAGUAAAAAUCCAGAUCCCGACCAAGCUAUACAAUAAGCAGAAAGCGAUUAGAUACAGGCGUACGCAUAAUCGGAAGAAGAUACCCCCGUCCAAAUUAUGGGCGUUACAUUGUCUUGUUCCUUGGCGACGAACGCGAAUGAAUCUGUCGAGGAAGA